GGAACUGCAAGCCCAAGGAACUGCAAGCACAGACCUUGCGGAUGGCACUGGGGUGGAGAAGGGAAUGCAGCCCGUGUCCCUGCCCCAGCCCAUGGGGCUGCCCAACGCGUCCCAACGGGGCUUUGCUCCCCAGCUGCGGCAGGACAGACUGUUGUCCGUGGUCCAGCAAAGCCGCCGGCCCCAUCGCCAAACCCCGAUGCCUGGAAGCUGGAUGAGGCCUUGGCUUUGUUGCACCGUGGAGGAGCGGAGGCUUUGUCCGAGGGAAGGAUUGAUCCCCCGCGCCGUGCGCCGAGGCAGCACGCGCUGCGAGAAUAAAUAAAAGCUUUCAGCAAAAUUAGCAACUGAGGGAAUAGAUAAACACUAAGCAGAUAUUGACUUCUGUUGAGGUGAACGUCGAGAUUUAUUGAGCUGGGGAGGUAAAUAUUGACCGAGGCAAAGCUAAGGUCAAUAAUUAACUCAAGGGAUGAUAAAUCAAAGCACAGUGAAACAUGAACUCUGCGUGUGCAUCGUUACGGACAUUCUGAACGUCUCCAUUGAGGAAGAUCUUGACUUUCCGCAAGACUUCUGAGUGGAAAGCAGGACUUCAGUCUUGCUGCUGCCCCCCAGAAGUCAGGAAAUAGUUUUGGUGAAGUCCCAGAUCUGGAGACUCUGCGACUCUUUGGAUGUGGUGUGGAUUCGGACCAGACUCAGUGGUGAUGGGAUGGAGACAAAGCGCCCAUGGUGUGAAGGUCUACAGCAAGGCCCUGCCAAAAAUCCACCUCCACGAAAAGAAACCCGCGCAGUUCUGAUUGACCAUCACGAGUGGUGCUGCUCCCAGCGUGCAAACAGGGACCUCGGGCUGCAGAGAUGAGGGAUGCACAGCACAGGAUGUGUCCCCAGGGCUGGGUGACGCUGGGUGCCAUGCGCUGGCCGCGCAGAGCACAGGUAACGAGCAAAGCAUCGGACGGACGGACAGACGGACGCUUCCAGCCACGCUGCCAUCACUACGCCAAAGGGAAGCGCUGCAGGUGCGGGGCUGGCGCUUGACAUAAAGCAGAGCCCUCGUGCUCUUGUCAAGAGCUUUUCUCACCCUGGUUACAGCACCCUGCACCCUGGCUGACCUCCAUGCAGGCAUAAAUUGGUCGAGAUAGAAGAGCCACCCGCGCUCAGCCCCACAGCGCGAGGGAGCCGUCCGCCAGCAGUGGAGGAACCCUUCGUGCUGCCCUUUUUUUGCAAGUUUCGCCCUGGAAAUCGCCACCUCAGCCCAUCCCCUCUGCAGGGGAAGCUCGUGCAUCCCCAGGGAGCGCAGGGACGGGUUGGGGUCUGGCAGUAAUUACACAGGGAAAGCGGAGCCCCGCUGGGCUGCUUCGAGCAGCGACGUGUCACGGCUGGGAGCGGAGGCAUUUCGCAUUCCGACUUCAGAUGUCAUCAGCAACAACACCGGGGGAGAAGGGCACAACGGCAGCAUUUCUGCACCCUGCUCUGCGCUGGGUUUUCUGUUAAAUCAGUGGGAAAAGAGCAAAUACAGUCAGAAGACCCAUGUGCUGAGUUGGAGCUGGAUGGCCUUUAAGGACCCUUCCAACCCGACCAUCCCAUGGUUCCAUGAUCUUUAAGGACCCUUCCAACCCGACCAUCCCAUGGUCCCAUGAUCUUUAAGGACCCUUCCAACCCGACCAUCCCAUGGUCCCAUGAUCUUUAAGGACCUUUCCAACCCAACCAUCCCAUGGUUCCAUGAUCUUUAAGGACCCUUCCAACCCGACCAUCCCAUGGUACCAUGAUCUUUAAGGACCCUUCCAACCCGACCAUCCCAUGGUCCCAUGAUUUUUCAGGACCCUUUCAACCCAACUCAUUCUAUAGUUUUCUGACCUUCAAGGACCCUUCCAACCCAACAACCACCACAUGGUUUUAUCAUCUCUAAGGACCCUUCCAACCCCACCAUCCCAUGGCUGAUGAUC
Tympanuchus pallidicinctus (lesser prairie-chicken) is the source of this 1934-nucleotide long non-coding RNA. RefSeq lists it as uncharacterized. The record is from RefSeq and is a predicted model, not a curated record. The transcript has 2 exons. NCBI's taxonomy places the organism in Eukaryota, Metazoa, Chordata, Aves, Galliformes, Phasianidae.